CGGAAUUAUUUACACGAUAUCAGCUUCAUACUUAUGGUGGAGUUAGUCACCACCUAUUGAUAUCUAUUAAGAAGUUUUUUUUAUAAGUAUUUGAUUUAAUCUAUCUACACUGUAAAUAGAUUAAUAACUUAAUAAUCUUAAAUUAUUGUACAAUCUACAGUUGUUGAACAAAAAUUAAAAUUAAAACAUAAACACAUUAUAAGUUAACCAAUACAUAAUUGGAACUUCAAAAUUUUGGACAGAAAA
Non-coding RNA from Cinara cedri, 246 nucleotides. The record is from the annotation of a GenBank genome assembly. NCBI's taxonomy places the organism in Eukaryota, Metazoa, Arthropoda, Insecta, Hemiptera, Aphididae.